CCUACGGGGCGCACCAGUAGGGAAUCUUCCGCAAUGGACGAAAGUCUGACGGAGCAACGCCGCGUGAGUGAUGAAGGCUUUCGGGUCGUAAAGCUCUGUUGCCAGGGAAGAACGCUUGGGAGAGUAACUGCUCUCAAGGUGACGGUACCUGAGAAGAAAGCCCCGGCUAACUACGUGCCAGCAGCCGCGGUAAUACGUAGGGGGCAAGCGUUGUCCGGAAUUAUUGGGCGUAAAGCGCGCGCAGGCGGCUUUGUAUGUCUGUCGUUUAAGUUCGGGGCUCAACCCCGUAUCGCGAUGGAAACUGCAAGGCUUGAGUACAGAAGAGGAAAGUGGAAUUCCACGUGUAGCGGUGAAAUGCGUAGAGAUGUGGAGGAACACCAGUGGCGAAGGCGACUUUCUGGGCUGUAACUGACGCUGAGGCGCGAAAGCGUGGGGAGCAAACAGGAUUAGAUACCCUCGUAGUC
This 464-nucleotide ribosomal RNA is filed under the name uncultured bacterium. RNAcentral's name for it is "bacterial SSU rRNA". It matches the Rfam family "Bacterial small subunit ribosomal RNA", at positions 338 to 795 of the family's 1533-position model. The record is from RNAcentral.